This 402-nucleotide ribosomal RNA is filed under the name uncultured bacterium. Its description in RNAcentral is "bacterial SSU rRNA". It matches the Rfam family "Bacterial small subunit ribosomal RNA", at positions 355 to 773 of the family's 1533-position model. The record is from RNAcentral.
UGGGGAAUCUUGCGCAAUGGGCGAAAGCCUGACGCAGCAACGCCGCGUGGGGGAUGAAUGCCCUCGGGUUGUAAACCCCUUUCAGCAGGAACGAAUCUGACGGUACCUGCAGAAGAAGGCCCGGCCAACUACGUGCCAGCAGCCGCGGUAAUACGUAGGGGCCAAGCGUUGUCCGGAUUUAUUGGGCGUAAAGAGCUCGUAGGCGGUUGGGUAAGUCGGGUGUGAAAACUCCAGGCUCAACUUGGAGAUGCCACCCGAUACUGCUCUGACUUGAGUUCGGUAGGGGAGUGGGGAAUUCCUGGUGUAGCGGUGAAAUGCGCAGAUAUCAGGAGGAACACCGGUGGCGAAGGCGCCACUCUGGGCCGAAACUGACGCUGAGGAGCGAAAGCGUGGGUAGCAAAC